GGUGAACGCUGGCGGUAGGCCUAACACAUGCAAGUCGAACGGACGCACAGUAAGCGCUUGCUCUUAAGGGUGGCGAGUGGCGGACGGGUAAGGAGUACAUAGGAAUCUACUUUUUCGUGGGGGAUAACGUAGGGCCACUGACGCUAAUACCUAAUAUGACCUACGGCAGAAAGCAGGAGAUAUACAGGCUUUGCGUGAUAGUAUGAGACGAUGUCGGAUUAGCUAGUUGGCGAGGUAAAGGCACACCAAGGCAACGCUACGUAGCUGGUCUGACAGGAUGAUCAGCCACACUGGAACUGAGACACGGUCCAGACUCCUACGGGAGGCAGCAGUGGGGAAUAUUGGACAAUGGGCGAAAGCCUGAUCCAGCCAUACCGCGUGGGUGAAGAAGGCCUUCGGGUUGUAAAGCCCUUUUGUUGGGAAAGAAAAGCAGCAGGUGAAUACCCCGCUGUUCUGACGGCACCCAAUGAAUAAGCACCGGCUAACUUCGUG
RNAcentral lists this ribosomal RNA (492 nucleotides) under uncultured bacterium. RNAcentral describes it as "partial 16S ribosomal RNA". It matches the Rfam family "Bacterial small subunit ribosomal RNA", at positions 28 to 507 of the family's 1533-position model. The record is from RNAcentral.